AUUGAACGCUGGCGGCAGGCCUAACACAUGCAAGUCGAGCGAGCGGCGGACGGGUGAGUAAUGUCUGGGAAACUGCCUGAUGGAGGGGGAUAACUACUGGAAACGGUAGCUAAUACCGCAUACACUCAGAUGGGCCCAGAUGGGAUUAGCGAGUAGGUGGGGUAAUGGCUCACCUAGGCGACGAUCCCUAGCUGGUCUAAGAGGUGGACCAGCCACACUGGAACUGAGACACGGUCCAGACUCCUACGGUAGGCAGCAGUAGGGAAUAUUCGGCAAUAGACGCAAGCCUGAUGCAGCCAUUCCGCGUGUGUGAAGAAGGCCUUCGGGUUGUACAGCACUUUCAUCGAGGAGGCGUUACUCGCAGAAGAAGCAACGGCUCACUCCGUGCCAGCAGCCGCGGUAAUUC
RNAcentral lists this ribosomal RNA (406 nucleotides) under uncultured bacterium. Its description in RNAcentral is "partial 16S ribosomal RNA". It matches the Rfam family "Bacterial small subunit ribosomal RNA", at positions 30 to 526 of the family's 1533-position model. The record is from RNAcentral.